UCCCAGACAUUGUCUGAGAGGAGCUGGA
Molecule: non-coding RNA, 28 nt
Filed under: Rattus norvegicus (Norway rat)
Lineage: Eukaryota; Metazoa; Chordata; Mammalia; Rodentia; Muridae
Source: RNAcentral